GAUGAACGCUGGCGGCGUGCCUAAUACAUGCAAGUCGAGCGAACAGAUGAGGAGCUUGCUCCUCUGACGUUAGCGGCGGACGGGUGAGUAACACGUGGAUAACCUACCUCUAAGACUGGGAUAACUUCGGGAAACCGGAGCUAAUACCGGAUAAUAUAUUGAACCGCAUGGUUCAAUAGUUAAAGACGGUUUUGCUGUCACUUAUAGAUGGAUCCGCGCCGCAUUAGCUAGUUGGUAAGGUAACGGCUUACCAAGGCAACGAUGCGUAGCCGACCUGAGAGGGGGAUCGGCAAAACUGGAACGGAGAAACGUUCCAGAUUCCAACGGGAGGCAGCAGUAGGGAAUCUGCAGCAAGGGGCGAAAGCCUGACGGAGCAACGCGGGGUGGGUGAUGAAGGUCUUCGGAUCGUAAAACUCUGUUAUGAGGGAAGAACAAAUGUGUAAGUAACUAUGCACGUCUUGACGGUACCUAAUCAGAAAGCCACGGCUAACUACGU
Molecule: ribosomal RNA, 496 nt
Filed under: uncultured bacterium
Lineage: Bacteria
Description: partial 16S ribosomal RNA
Rfam family: Bacterial small subunit ribosomal RNA
Source: RNAcentral